AAUAAUUUUAUUAUACUAUAUGAUAAAAUAUUUAAUAAAUAAAUUACAUGAAUAUAAUUUAAUAAAAAGGUUCUCAGGACCUAAAGCAUAUCCUCUCAUUGGAAAUCUACAUAUAUUUCUUGGUGAUAUCAAGGAUAUAACUAAAAAAUUGUUAAAAGCAAUUGAAUACUCUCCAUCACCAUGGCGAUUAUGGUUAGGGCCAAAAUUAUUUGUAUUAUUAGAUGAUCCGAAACAUAUUGAAAUUAUUUGUAAACAUUCAAAUGCUUUUGAGAAAAGUCUCGUAUAUGAUUUUAUGAAACCUUGUAUAGGUAAUGGUUUAGUAACUGCUCCAGCAUCAAUAUGGAAAACUCAUCGAAAAUUGUUAAAUCCAAUAUUCAAAGAAAAAUCUCUUUCUAUCAAAGUGGACAAGAUAAUAAAACAUUCAAAUAGAUUUGCAAAAAUUCUUGAAAAUUCUAAUGAAAAAGAAAUAGACAUUUCGCAUUACAUAAAUCUUUGUACUUUGGAUACGAUAUAUGAUACAGUUUUAGACCGGGAUUUUAAUUUCCAAAAUAAUUUAGAAGGAGGACUUCGUGACCAUAUUUCAGUAUUAAUUGACAUAGCGACCCAAAGGAUCUUCAAAUUUUGGUUGCAUCCGAAUAUCAUUUUCUAUAAUCUAUCUGUAGGAAAAAGAUUCAGAGAAGCUUUAUCACAUUUGGAUAAAAUCACCUCAGAGAUAAUAAAGGAACAGAAGGAAUCGAUGCAAGAAAAGAAAAUUAAUGGCGAAAUGAAAGAAAAAGAUGCAACAAAAUAUACUCCUUCAUUUCUUGAUUCGUUAUUCAAAUCAUUCUACGAGGGAAAAGAAUAUACGGAGCAAGAUAUUAGAGAUGAAAUCAAUACAAUAGUUAUGGCUGGAGGCGAUUCAACCGCUGGUACAAUUUCUUUUGUAUUUUUAAUGUUAGCAACUUACCCAAAAAUUCAAGAACAAGUAUACGAUGAGCUCUACCAAAUAUAUGGUUUAACCGAUCCUGAAGAUGAGCAUAUUACAUACGAAGAUAUUAAGAAUAUGAAAUUUUUGGAUCGAGUGAUGAAAGAGACUUUUCGUCUUUUUCCUCCCAGUCCUUUUAUUGCACGAAAUGUGUGUGAAGAUAUAGAAGUGAGCGAGGGUGUAAUAGUACCAAAAAAUUCUACUUGUGUACUCAUGCUUUAUGCACUUCAUCGAAACGAAAAAUAUUGGAAAGAUCCUCUACAAUUUAAUCCUGAUAGGUUUUUACCUGGCAAUUACAAUACUAAACAUUUUUUACCAUUCAGCAUUGUUCCAAGAGUAUGCAUUGGUUUGAAUUUUGCAAUGCUCGAAAUCAAAGGAAUAAUUGCUACUGUAUUAAGAAAAUUUUCUGUUCAUGUAGAUGUCCCACAAAAAGUGGAAGACAUAGCUCUACAAUUCGGUAUAACAAUGAAACCUGCGAAAAAGAUUUUUUUAAGGUUUAGGAAGAGAUAAUACCUAUUAUUAUUGUCAAUAUUUUUUGAAAAUUUAAUAAUCUUUUUAUAAAUUGUUUAAAAAUAAGAAGUCUUCCAGUCCUGUUUUCAGGAUACGUUUUGUUUUAGUAGACCUUUCCCUUGUUCCACUAGUUUAUUUAUGAUUGUUAAGUCAUUACCGGUUUAUGAUCGGAGGUGAUUGUAGACGAUUGAAUCAUAUUCAAACGUCGCUUGUCCUAGACUUUUCCAUCUUAACGGGACUGAGUAAUGACAUAUUCGUCAUCCUUUCACCAUUUCUAUCUCCCAACUACACACGGGAUACGACGCCCUGCUAGGCCAUCAAAAGGAAUCGCUCGUCCUCUUUUUCCUGAGGAAACCUAUGAUGACGUAUCUUACAUUAGCAGCAAAAGAGAACUAUGCAGCACAUACAAAUAAGAGUAUAAGGGAGGAAAGUGUAUCGGCAAUCCAUACACUUCCGCCACGGUAAUUUCCUGCCACGCAGGUGAGAUCCACUCAUUGUACUUACAUACAAUCGUGGAUAUAUAUAUAUUGAAGACUGUUAAUAAUUUAGUAUUAACCAAGUGUACACCUUACGCAUCCUUCAAAGCCAUUCCCAUCAUUUUUCAAAUUUUAGCUAUUUUUCAGGACGUGUAUGUAGUAAAUUUACAUUUUUAAAUUUUUUGUCAAGUCCGCCUGCAUGAUCACUGAGUGGAUUGAGUAGCUCAGUGGUUAUGUUGCCGGUCCCAAGCCCGGAUAAAGGAUGAAGGUUAAAAGAUUAGGUUAGCUCCCUGCCUGGCGUAAAACAUAUAACACGCUCACAGACCCGCAGAAUCGCCUCGGAUUAGGACUGAUACACGGAAAACGACCCAGGCACGGAAAAGGACAGUGAGUUGGAAACGGAAAAAUAUCCUGAGAAUAGCUUCCUGAGAAUAGCAUUCAACAAUAAAGAGCAAGAAAUAACAGAAGAGCUAAAAAAUAUGAAAGUAGACGUUGCUGCAUUACAGGAAACAAAACAAAAGGCAAAGGUCAAAAAGCGUACGGGGAAUAUGUGGUAAUAUAUAGUGGUGUUGACAAGAAUGAAAGAGCUAAAGAAGGCGUGGCUAUCGCCUUACAUAAGAAAUACACCAACCAAGUGGAAAAAUGCCAAUAUAUAUAUAUAUAUCAUAACCACGUAUAGUAAUGGUAAAGUUGAUGACCGAACCAGAACCUCUGCAUAUAAUAUCGGUCUACGCGCCAGAAGACAACAAGCUGAAACAAGAAGAGGAAACUUUUUUUAAUGAACUUUAGAGUAUCGUGGAGUCAGUACCACCAAGUGAAUCAAUUAUCAUCUUCGGAGAUUUUAAUGCUCGCAUCGGUAACGAGCCAAUCUUCGGAGUCAAGCAACGGUUCAACAAAAACAUAAUUAAUGAUAACGGGAAACUUAUGAUCAACCUCUGUUCUCUGACAGGGCUUAAAAUCAAUAACACCUACUUUAACCAUAAAGCCCAACACAAAUAUACGUUUGGUAACAGCCGCGAUCAAAAGUCAACUAUUGACUACGUUGUGACGAGCAGAUGCAUACCACCUUCCGAAAUCUUAGAUGUCAGAGUGCUUAACUCAGCUGAUGUGGGAAGCGAUCAUGGUUUACUCCUGGGCAAAUUUUGAUUAAAGUAUAGCUUCAAAAGAAAACAGCAACACCCAGUCAGAGCAAGAGAAAAAAUUAGGGUAGAAGCUCUCUAGGACCCAACUAUCCGUGAUCUUUAUAGAAAAUGAUUAGAAGAAAAAGUUGAACUGCAUCCAACCACUAACUUGGACGAUCUCAAAAUAAUUUGGAGCUAACUAACAACAAACAUCAGAACUGCAGGUAUAGAAUCUGUAGGAAUAACAACAUACAAAAGCCAAGGUUUCACAAAAAAUAAAACAUCAUGGUUCUGAGAAGAAGUUAAAAAACAGUGCAGAAAGAAGAAAGAAGCAUACAUAGAGUAUCUAACAACCCGAACUGCUGAGUCAUCCAACGCAUAUAAACAAAUUCGGAAUGAAACCGGUACUAUGGUGAGACAACUAAAAGACAAGUACUAGGAGAUCUUUUCAAAGCGACUAGAAAGAUACUUUUACUGGCUCCAGAAACAGAUGUGAUGAUUCAUAAGAAGCCAAAAGAAAGAAACAAGCGAGUUAAUACCCGCUAGUCAAAUUAGUAAGGAAACGUGGACCAGUUACCUUAAAGACCUAUAUAAAGGUGCACCCAUGCAACAACCAGCACCGAGUGUGGUAAUGGACGACCAGAUAUGAAUAAUUGAGUCGGACAUUAGAAAAGCACUACAUAAACUCAAAAAUAAGAAAAGUCCGGGUCGGAUGAUAUCACUAACGAACUUCUCAAGUAUAGCGGCAAAAGAUUGCUUCAGGAGUUGACUGUAUUAACACAAAAAAUUUUUGAACAACAAAAAAUUCCCGACGAGUGGCGAACAAGCAUAACAAUCCUUUUUUUAAAGAUAGGUGACAAGAAGGUGCCUGCGAAUUACAGAGGAAUAAAUCUACUGUCUUUCACCCUGGAAUUAGUGACCAAAGUCAUAACAAACCUAAUAAACGAGCGAAUCACACUAACUGUUGAACAACAAGGUCUCCAAACUGGACUAUCAUGCACAGAUGCAGCGUUUGUUAGCAGACAAAUAACUGAAAAAUCUAUAGAAUAUAAUAAACCAGCAUUUUUCUGUUUUAUAGAUCUAGAAAAGGCGUUCGACCGGAUACGGUUAGAGGAUAUAGUGCACCUUCUGUAUGACAGACAAAUACCAAGUAAAAUCAUUAAAACUAUCGAAGACAUCUACCGAAAUAAUUGAAUACAGACAAAGAUAAACAAUGAACUUACAGAACCCAUAAUGGUGGAAAGAGGUAUUCGACAGGAUGACUCACUGAAUCCCAUACUUUUUAAUAUUAUAACGGAUGAAAUCAUAAAGAAGGUACGCGGACAAAGAAGAUAUCGAAUGGGGAACCGAGAGAUAAAAAUCUUGUGUUACGCCGAUGAUGCAGUCCUGGUAGCGGAAAAUGAGGAUGACCUGCAAAGGCUCCUGUAUACGUUCAACACAGUUGCUAAGACAAUCGGGAUGUCUAUAUCUGUUAAAUUUAUCUAAAAUUGGUUGUGGAUCGGGUUGGUUGCAUGAUAACAAACUAGAAAGUAUAAGUAUUAUUAUUUAUUGUAACCAAUUAAUUCAAAACUUACAUAUUUUAAUGGUCAUAAGAAACCAAGUGCAAACGCUUCUACAUCACGUGGAGCUAUAUAUACGACUAACUACGGUAAAACAAAAAGGAAUCAUUCGAAAAAAUUCGGAUUGAUUCGGAUCGAUUCGGAUCGAGUCGGCCGCUGCCGCUCAAGCUUAUCAGCAAUACAUUGUACAUUCUUCAACAAUAUCAACAUCCAAGACUAAAUGCAUGACUACAUCUAAAAAACCCCUAAGAUGUAAAUUGGUUGUCGAUGACAAGAUAAUAUAACAAGUGAUAAAGUUCAACUACUAGAUAUAAAAUUUUCGAGCUUCGGUGACAUAGAGUCAGAAAUAAGAGGACAAGCCAUCAAGGCAGCAAGAACAGCCUCACUAUUAAACGACACCAUAUUCCGAAACAAGCAUCUAAGAAUAGAUGCAAAAGCGCUAUAAGGCCUAUACUAACAUAAGCGGCAGAAACAAGACCCGAAACAUCUAAAACACGCCAAAUCAUGGAAACAACUGAAAUUAAGAUAGUUCGCAGAAUAGCUAGGAAAUCACUAUGGGACAGAGUAAAAUGCGAAGACCUCAGAAAAGCAUGCCAGAUCGAGAAUAUCAACGACUGAGUAUUAAGCAGAAAAAUGAGUGGAAUGACCACAUAAUUCGCAUGACAGAGGACCGACGGUCAAAAUAUCCCGAGAUAAGUUACCAUCGGGGAGACGAAGCGUUGGAAGACCUCGAAAGCGCUGGAGCGACAGUCUGACUAUAUGAAGCGCGUCGCGAUGAAGAACAGACAUUGUGCCUAUUUGGAAGAAAGAACAAGAAGAAGAAAUUCAUUGUCCUUCACACAUCGAUGUUUUAUAUUAAAUAGUGUAUGGUGCACUUUUGAGAAACCUUGUCCAAAAUGUUUGCAACCAAUUCACAUUUUCUCCAUCAGUGUUUCUACUUAUCGUAUAUAUAUACAUGUCAUUUAGUCCAAGUAGAUUCGUACUUAGGACAUCCAGUCUUCAUCCUCGAAGAACCCUUAAUAAAUCGGCUUAUUAAAGGGCUAUUCGUGAUAUUCUCGAUCAAAGAUAACGCCGCCCUGGCUGAGUUUAGCGCGCUAUGUCCAACUCCAUCACUGAAUCUUUCCGUCAAUAAUUUCAAAACCUUCUCCACAGACAACUCAUAUGGAUCUCCGAUGACCUGAUUAUUCCAACGCCACCAGAGCUUCAAAGUUUCAUUGUAAUUUUUUAAUGUUGCUUUUGCUAGUUAAGCUAGCGAGAUAUCCACUGCUUCCUUAAGCAUGUCCUUGAUUACAAGUGCCUGGCUGAUAACCUGGCGACAACUAGGGUAAGUCUUGCAGCCAAAGGAUGAUGACGUGACCUGAGUAGGCCAGUAAGGUACAACCAAAAUACCUUUUGCUUUAUCAUUUUUGAUUUUCUUAAUCACUCUAGCUAUGAUGGAAAAGGGGAGAAAGGCAUAAAAUAUCCAAUCUGACCAACUAACUGUAAAAGCAUCAAACGCGAAGGCUUCUGGAUCUCCCUCCACGAGCAACCGCGCAUUUAGUAUUGAUUCGCGAAGAAAAUAGAUCGAUCCCCAGAUUCCCGAAUCUUCUGAUGAUUCUUUUAAACGCAUAGUCUGCUAAUUUUCACUCCGCGUCUGGGUUAUCGAUUCCUAGUGAUCGGUCAACCUCCACAUUUUCCUUCGACGGGAUGUACGAGGCGUAAACCCAUAAUUGGCGGCCCUCGCACCGAUUCCAUAGCUCACUCGCCAAGCUAUGUAGCCCGGCAUAACAGACACCACCAAUCCUAUUGAUAUAGGCCAUUGUUGUCGUGUUGUCCACCAUGAGUAAGCCAUUAGUGUCCCUCAGGUCCGUCGCAAAACACUACAAGGCCCAUAGUGUCGCUUUAAGCUCCAGGUGGUUUAUAUGAAGACUUCUCUCCUUCUGGCUCCAGAACCCAUUGGCGCUUUCACCUUUUUACUGGCAUCUGAGCUUGGACUUUCGUCCUUUCAAUGAUCUACAGUGUAACAAACUGUACUUAACUGCCGGACAACACGCUACUACUGUCCCCACAACCUUGCCAAAAUCACGAAUCUUCACCGUGUCCUUUUUCUUAAGAUCCUCGAUCUGUUUCUGUACUGAGACUAUUUUCUCUCUUGGAAGCUCCCUGUAAUCCUCAUUGUAAAUGGGUCAAAAAUAAAGCCUAAAUAUUAACGUCUUCUUUUGGGCUUCAAAUUGGACUUAUCAACAUUCCCAAUGAAUCAUAACCUCUCAUCCGAAGAUAGUUUAUUACCGGCUUCAACAACUUGGUAGUUGUUAAUGGACACGUGCAUAAGGGCAAACAAACAAACUCAUAAAUUUUCCCCUUAAGGGUAUACUGGUCUAGAAAUUAAAAAAAAUCGAUUUUUUUGUCUGUUUUUAAAGCUUAUCCUUUUGGAAUUUCCUUCUCGAGUUACUAGCAACGUAAAGGCGCGUUUUCCUGAACGCGAGGAACGGGCCGUGGGCAAGGAACAGGCCAAUGAGAACCCGUAAUGUAGGGAGAAAGAAAUUUCCUAUUUAACUUUGAUCUCCUGGGACGAGCUUUUAUUCACAGUAUGUGGUGUACCACGUGUUAGAGAAAUACAAAGAAAGUUUUAUAUAGAGUACAACGAGAAGCGUGACUAGCCGGUUCGGCGGACAAUGAGAGAGUGUCCGAGUGAAUGAACUCCCACGGCGAUCCAAGCAUCCGGAAGUAGAGAGGGCAACGGUCGCAGCGAUCACUUUGCAGCCCUGACCAAUCAAAUACGUUGUCAAGCUAAUUGGAUGCCCCUGCGUGGUGGUCAAGCCGCGAGGCCAGAGCGGAAAUGCCCCUGGUAGACCAGCGCACCCCUGCAGAGUCGCAUCACGUGGUGCAUAAGGAAGCUAGUGCUGGCGACCGAGAGGUGUCAGCACUUUUCCUGCACGCGAUGCUGCAGCUGCGCGCAGUCGGCCGAGAGGUGUCAGCACCGUGCUGGUGAGUGUGGCGAUACGUGCCUAGUGUAUCGACGCGGCACACUGGCGCCCUUCCUCCCUAUGCGGGUACUAGACUAACUAAACCCAAGUUGAACGUAACGGUCGAAAUGUAAGUUAGUCCUAUAUAUGGCGUCCAAGAGUUUAGUUGUAUCUUGUUAAUAAAUUUAUAUAUU
RNAcentral lists this unclassified non-coding RNA (7769 nucleotides) under Polistes dominula (European paper wasp). RNAcentral describes it as "cytochrome P450 4C1-like, transcript variant X3". The record is from RNAcentral. Lineage: Eukaryota; Metazoa; Arthropoda; Insecta; Hymenoptera; Vespidae.